RNAcentral lists this ribosomal RNA (113 nucleotides) under Candidatus Schekmanbacteria bacterium. The record is from RNAcentral. Lineage: Bacteria; Candidatus Schekmaniibacteriota.
CCUGGUAGUUAUAGCGGAGGGGAAACACCCGUAACCAUUCCGAACACGGAAGUUAAGCCCUCCUGCGCUGAUGGUACUGCCCUUCGAGGUGGGAGAGUAAGUCGCUGCCAGGA